GAUGAAGAACGUAGCGAAAUGCGAUACUUGGUGUGAAUUGCAGAAUCCCGUGAACCAUCGAGUCUUUGAACGCAAGUUGCGCCCGAAGCCAUUAGGCCGAGGGCACGCCUGCCUGGGUGUCACACACCGUUACCCUCGCGCCAACGUCCAUCGUUGGCCGCGGCGCGGGGCGUGCGCUGACCUCCCGCGAGCGGGGUCUCGUGGUUGGUUGAAAAUCGAGUUCGCGGUCGAGGGUGCCGUGAUGAAAUGGUGGAUGGGCGACGCCCGAGGCCAAUCACGCGCGACUCUGUCCGGCNNNNNCUCCUGGACCCCUUCGGCGUCUCCGGACGCUCUUUGGCGAGACCUCAGGUCAGGCGGGGCUACCCGCUGAGUUUAAGCAUAUCAAUAAGCGGAGGA
RNAcentral lists this unclassified non-coding RNA (396 nucleotides) under soil metagenome. Its description in RNAcentral is "partial contains 5.8S ribosomal RNA, internal transcribed spacer 2, and large subunit ribosomal RNA". The stretch from base 1 to 122 matches the Rfam family "5.8S ribosomal RNA", at positions 35 to 154 of the family's 154-position model. The record is from RNAcentral.